GCCUACAGCCUGACCAUACUGAUUGCAUCUGAUCUCAGAAGCUAAGCAGGCCCAGGCCCAGUACCUGGAUGGGAGACGGCCUGGGAGUCCUGGGUGCUGUAGGCU
Molecule: non-coding RNA, 105 nt
Organism: Alligator sinensis (Chinese alligator)
Lineage: Eukaryota; Metazoa; Chordata; Crocodylia; Alligatoridae
Source: Rfam